Molecule: ribosomal RNA, 254 nt
Filed under: uncultured bacterium
Lineage: Bacteria
Description: partial 16S ribosomal RNA
Rfam family: Bacterial small subunit ribosomal RNA
Source: RNAcentral
UACGGGGGGAGCAAGCGUUGUUCGGAUUUACUGGGCGUAAAGGGCGCGUAGGCGGCCACCGCAAGUCGACUGUGAAAUCUCCGGGCUUAACCCGGAAAGGUCAGCCGAUACUGCGGGGCUAGAGUGCAGAAGGGGCAACUGGAAUUCUCGGUGUAGCGGUGAAAUGCGUAGAUAUCGAGAGGAACCCCUGCGGCGAAGGCGGGUUGCUGGGCUGACACUGACGCUGAUGCGCGAAAGCUAGGGGAGCGAACGGG